RNAcentral lists this long non-coding RNA (335 nucleotides) under Homo sapiens (human). RNAcentral describes it as "HSALNT0392780". Lineage: Eukaryota; Metazoa; Chordata; Mammalia; Primates; Hominidae. The record is from RNAcentral.
AGAACACCAGGGUCUGAACAGAGAAGCUUCAGAAUACUUUCUCCGACUAGAGAACUUUUUUAUGGUGGGAGGAAAAAAUGUUGCCAGUCCCACUUCACAGACACCUGGAAUUCAUGAAGUCUGAGGACUUCUUUCAUUUUACUUUCAACUAAAAGCUCUAGCACGAAACAGCAAAGGCUCACAGAACUAAAGAUCAGGAGGUGGCCCUGUGAGAGGGUGUUCAGCCUGGAUCCCUGGUGAAACUCCAUCAUUGAGCAGCAUAUCUACUUCAGAAAGCGUGGAAAGAAAAGAGCCUGGUGGGAAAAGUCUAUCAAGUGAUAGUGACGUGCCCUUAU